RNAcentral lists this ribosomal RNA (492 nucleotides) under uncultured bacterium. RNAcentral's name for it is "partial 16S ribosomal RNA". It matches the Rfam family "Bacterial small subunit ribosomal RNA", at positions 29 to 507 of the family's 1533-position model. The record is from RNAcentral.
AGUGAACGCUGGCGGUAGGCCUAACACAUGCAAGUCGAACGGCAGCACAGUAAGAGCUUGCUCUUACGGGUGGCGAGUGGCGGACGGGUGAGGAAUACAUCGGAAUCUACUUUUUCGUGGGGGAUAACGUAGGGAAACUUACGCUAAUACCGCAUACGACCUACGGGUGAAAGCAGGGGAUCUUCGGACCUUGCGCGAUUGAAUGAGCCGAUGUCGGAUUAGCUAGUUGGCGGGGUAAAGGCCCACCAAGGCGACGAUCCGUAGCUGGUCUGAGAGGAUGAUCAGCCGCACUGGAACUGAGACACGGUCCAGACUCCUACGGGAGGCAGCAGUGGGGAAUAUUGGACAAUGGGCGAAAGCCUGAUCCAGCCAUACCGCGUAGGUGAAGAAGGCCUUCGGGUUGUAAAGCCCUUUUGUUGGGAAAGAAAAGCAGCAGGUUAAUACCCCGCUGUUCUGACGGUACCCAAAGAAUAAGCACCGGCUAACUUCGUG